UGGUUCUUUUGUUUGCUUUUCUUUGCCCUGUUUAGGGUUCUUUUGGGGAGGGGAUAAACUAUUCGUUGAUUUCUUUCUACCAAAAAUCUUCUAGCCCGAUCUGGCUAUCUGAUACCAUUGAUAGAUCCUUCGGAUCGGAGUAGGCUAGAUCAUCCGGUGAACCUACCUUCUCCAGGUGCUGACGAGCUCGAUCCAGCACCGGCCAUGGUGAUGGCGGAGUGUGGGCGAGGUGGUGGCGGCGGAGCUUCCCGUCGGCCUAGCGCAAACCCUAGAUCGGAUUGGUGUGUUGGUGGUGUUGUGGUGCACGGUCAAUCUUGUGAUGCGUGCCCCGGCACCCCACCUCUUUAUAUUACGCUGACGACAGGGGCCCACCAACCAUGGUUUGGUUGGGCGCCCCCAAUCAGGGCGCGAGUCAGGGGCCCGUUCGACCCGUUGGGUUCGAACGGGAUAGAGAUCAAUCUAACAGGUAUUUCUCACUAGUCCUAUGGACUUUGACGCACAAGGUGUUUAUGCUGAUUUGGAUGGAGUUAUUUACUUUCUUCGACUACUGGAGGGAAUUUGGAUCAAGGUGGAGAUUGUUAAAUUGUGUUCCAAAUCAUACUGUGUUGGACUAGACGUAUUACAACCGGUGUGGGCCUUUGCGUUGACGUCGACGCGUACGAGUACAACUCGUUUACUUGUCCUCCAAGGACUCUCAUGUAUUGCCCUCUUAUAUACCCCAUGUAGUCGCACCUCAGACGGCCUGUCGUCUCGUGCUUGUAAUACUCCUCCUCACAGUGAUUGCGCCUUCGUGCGUCCGUGGUUUUCUCCGGCAAGGGUUUUCACGUAAAAAUCCUUGUCUCUCUGUCUCGUUUAUUUCUCGUUAUUAUUUAGUCUAACUUAUUCUCCACUAUGAUUAGCCUUACUCGUACGCGGUACGCGCCUUCCAACUUUUUUGCCAUGUGCAGGCUACGUCAUAAGCCUAAUCUAUGCGCUGUGAAUCAGAAAGCCGAUGCUUCUCUGUUGAAAAGAAAAGGGGCCGACGAGUGAUCAUCGAUGACAGCAUGUCAAAGGUUACACUACUCACAAGAUUCCAAGACAUCACCCGGUUUAGCAUAAAAACAGUGUUCAUAUUGCUUUCGUUUCGCUAGAGCCAGAGCCUUCCGCACAGGAGUAUGUAUGUAUCUGACCGUCCGCCACUUCCAACGCACUCAGUUAACGCAGUCAGCUAUUUUUUUUCUACAGGAAUAUUCACCUAUCAUGUGAUUUCGAUCGAGGAGCCCUCCUAUAAAAUUUUGAACUCGCUCCCUCGAUCCAAACUUUGCGUCUUUGCCGGGACGAAUGAUCCGUCACCUUGAGGUCAAACCAACUCAGACGGCAAGAGUCCACAUAAGUCUUGUCAUGGCCUGAGCCCGAUCUACCAAACACGCACGGUCUGCAUGUGCACUGCAGGUUAGUCAGUGAGUCUGUUCUUCCUUGUUCUUGGGUAAAAAUAUCUCCGCUUGUUCGGCCUAAAUAACUUUCUUCUAAUCUUGCUGCAUAUGUAGGCAUACCGCCCGUCUGAACCAUGUGGCCGCAUGCAUAUUCAGUUGGUGCAGAGGCCGAAAGAGUAGUAAGUAAAUUUCCUCCUUUCCGAAAAGAAGAACCCGUGGCCAGCUGCUAAGGUUGCUACAGACAAUAGAUGCUCUGCAGCAAUGUAUAACUAGCUGAAAGCUUUUCUUUUAAUUCCAUGGUUAAGCUUGAAGAAAUACGCACAAUCAUUCGCGCCCUGCUGGAUUCGUUUCGUUCUAGCUGUGCCGCAUUUGCUAUUCUGCAUGCAUCUCUACACUGACUAGAUGGAGCUUGUCUGUCAGGAAUCGGGAUUUGCUAGCAUUGCAUGCCGUGUGUAUCCGAUGCCUGCCCUUUUAGGCCUUUGCUACAUGCAGAAAAAAAAAGGACACAGCAGCAUCUAAAAUCUAUAAUAGAGUAAAGGUACUAAUUGGACCAUUCCGGU
This 1972-nucleotide long non-coding RNA is filed under the name Triticum aestivum (bread wheat). RNAcentral's name for it is "long non-coding RNA (TAES_LNC005796)". Lineage: Eukaryota; Viridiplantae; Streptophyta; Magnoliopsida; Poales; Poaceae. The record is from RNAcentral.